AAACAAGCAUGAGUCAACUACAUCACCGGAAUGACGACCUCCUCCGACCCUGCCGCCACCCCGGCGCCGCAGUCUCCGGGCGUCGGCGGCGUGGCCCUCUCGUCCUGCAUCGGCGACCUCCUCCGUUUCGUCCUCUCCUCCCACACCGGCGCCUGCCCCGGUGACGACCUGGCCGCGUUCCCCCUCUCGCCGUCCUACUGCGUCCGCCUCGUCAACGACGGCGAACUGUUCGGGAAGCUGGAGGCCUCUAUUCAGCGGUGCCUCGAGGAGGGGCGGCUCCCGGGACCGCCCGCAGUGGUCGGGAUUCCGGCUGCGGAGGAGGGGCCGGAGGAGAGAGGGUGGGAGCUGCUGCUGCUGGAGAAAGGCGCCGAGUUGAAGCGGAUGUAUGAUGCUGUUGACUUUGAGUUGCAUGUUCAGGAACCCUACUUCACUCAACUCAGAGCUGGAGCCAAGAAGGUUGAAGGGAGAUUAGCGACUGGUAACUACAACCGGAUUACACAAGGUUCUUUGCUGCUAUUCAAUAAAUGCCUGUUGCUUAACAUUGAGGCAGUUAGGAAGUACAGUUCAUUCUCUGAGAUGCUGGAAGCAGAGAUAAUCUCAAAUGUCCUUCCUGGUAUUUCAUCAAUUGUAGAAGGUGUGAAAGUAUAUAGGAAAUUCUAUACAGAGGAAAAGGAGAACUCUUCUGGAGUUUUAGCGAUAUCAGUUUCAAAGCCAACAUCUCAACCUUACAUAACCAUGACUGAUAUCCUUGCUGGAUUGGGCUAUGAUGGAUUGGGUAGACUCCUUGGUAUGGCCAAAACAGCUGGAACUGUUCCAGAUGGACUACCUCCUCCAAGAUCUGCACUGUUAUCAUCUUGUAUGAGACUACUCCAACCAAAUGUGAAAGGCUGUUCUUUAACUGAUGGUGCAAGGGCAUUGUCCAAACAUGUUCACAGGAGUAGGAAAGGAUGGUGGGGCAACUUUAAUGGGAGUGAUUCGAGCAAGAACCAAGUUGCAUCUGAAACCGUUGACUCUUUGUUGCGUGAAUGUUGUUGGAUGAAUGUUCAUCUGACUCAACCCUAUGGUCCUGUUUUUGAAAUCCGUGUGCAUGAAGGUUAUGGCGCCAGAUGGUCUCAAGAUGGUUCAAAGAUUGGCAGUUGAUUUGUUCACUUGAUAUCUGGUGCUGAAAGAUUCCAGAAGUGAUCCAAUCAAGAGACCAAAUCCUACAAAAAAAAAUAGCACCGGUUAACUAAUAAUGAUGAUCUGCCAGAUUUUCGUUGGGGUACCGUAUCCCUUCUGCCUUGAUACAUACUCAUGAACAGCUAAUAAGGGUCAUUAAAUGAAGGAGUUUCAUCAGAUGAGAGAGGAGUUUCAUCCCCAUGAAACUUCUAUGGCUCGGUUACCUAGUUUGUAGUCUUGGUAACUGUGUCAUAAAACUAUGCAUUGAGGCUGGCCUAACAAGUCAAACACUUGGUGCCAACAAGAUUUCUAUAAUCAGUGUCUGCUAUGUAUAUUAAUAUAUUCCAGAAUGUCAGGACACUGAAACAAUUUGUAAACUAUGCCCGAUCAUUCAACUGCUUGCUCGCCACAUUUGCAGUUCAUUGGAUUCUUGGAGCCCUACACCCCAGAAGGCUAUGCUAAAGGAUGGAAACACUAGCACUAGCCAGAUGCCUAGAUCUUGAUCUGUAUUAGCUGUCUUGUCUAUCAGGGUUCAUUUGCAUCUCUGAACGAUACUGGUCUUGCUCAAAUAAAGAGACGAUCAUGUGUACAUCAGUCCUGCCUAAGGUAUAUUCUACUUUUCCCCUUUUGUUGACUGGAGAAAAGGGGCUGAGGAACAUUGUUCCUUGCAUGUUAUGGUCAAAUUCUGGAGUUCUGAAGUUUUUCUUUGGAUC
Molecule: RNA transcript, 1871 nt
Organism: Sorghum bicolor (sorghum)
Lineage: Eukaryota; Viridiplantae; Streptophyta; Magnoliopsida; Poales; Poaceae
Exons: 11
Source: RefSeq, a predicted model, not a curated record